This 253-nucleotide ribosomal RNA is filed under the name uncultured bacterium. RNAcentral describes it as "partial 16S ribosomal RNA". It matches the Rfam family "Bacterial small subunit ribosomal RNA", at positions 524 to 776 of the family's 1533-position model. The record is from RNAcentral.
UACAGAGGUCUCAAGCGUUGUUCGGAUUCAUUGGGCGUAAAGGGUGCGUAGGCGGCGCGGUAAGUCGGCUGUGAAAUCUCGGAGCUUAACUCCGAAACUGCAUUCGAUACUGCCGUGCUUGAGGACUGGAGAGGAGACUGGAAUUUACGGUGUAGCGGUGAAAUGCGUAGAUAUCGUAAGGAAGACCAGUGGCGAAGGCGGGUCUCUGGACAGUAACUGACGCUGAGGAGCGAAAGCGUGGGGAGCGAACAGG